UCCUGACAGAUGGAUCACCUGGUGCGAGCCC
Molecule: non-coding RNA, 31 nt
Filed under: Mus musculus (house mouse)
Lineage: Eukaryota; Metazoa; Chordata; Mammalia; Rodentia; Muridae
Source: RNAcentral